UACAGAGGGUGCGAGCGUUGUUCGGAAUUACUGGGCGUAAAGUGUGCGCAGGCGGCCGAGCAAGUCGAGUGUGAAAGCCCCGGGCUUAACUUGGGAAUUGCGCUCGAAACUACUUGGCUGGAGUGUGGCAGAGGAAGGUGGAAUUCCACGUGUAGCGGUGAAAUGCGUAGAGAUGUGGAGGAACACCAAUGGCGAAGGCAGCCUUCUGGGCCAACACUGACGCUCAUGCACGAAAGCGUGGGGAGCAAACAGG
Molecule: ribosomal RNA, 253 nt
Filed under: uncultured bacterium
Lineage: Bacteria
Description: partial 16S ribosomal RNA
Rfam family: Bacterial small subunit ribosomal RNA
Source: RNAcentral